AAACUGAUGCUGUGAUGUG
RNAcentral lists this microRNA (19 nucleotides) under Parasteatoda tepidariorum (common house spider). RNAcentral's name for it is "pte-miR-2g-5p". Its record names the gene pte-miR-2g-5p. The record is from miRBase by way of RNAcentral. Lineage: Eukaryota; Metazoa; Arthropoda; Arachnida; Araneae; Theridiidae.